Molecule: long non-coding RNA, 963 nt
Organism: Esox lucius (northern pike)
Lineage: Eukaryota; Metazoa; Chordata; Actinopteri; Esociformes; Esocidae
Source: Ensembl
UUCAAGCCAGUUUGAAGACAUCAUCUGCUGCAGAGAGUUUUUGUCACUCUAAUCCACAACCUGAUUGUCCUGGAGGUUUGAAGCCAUCCAAGUCUAGGACAGGGGAACGAUCCAAAAAAGGCAGUGCAUGUAGUGUUUGUGCCUCCUGCUCAAAGCAUGUCCACCUGGUGCAGAGACAUCUUGCAGAGGGAAACUCUACCACCACAGCUGCCUUCAGGUAACAGAACGCUCCCAAGAUGCAGUGUGUGCAGCAGCACUCUCUUACCAGGGUCUUACAAAGAGGGGACUGACGCUGGUUCUUUGGUCUGCAUCCAGCACUUGACAGCCAGUCAAAAUGUUUUCCCUGACUACGGUAAACAAACUGAAUCCACGGGAAACCACAAUGUCUCUCACGUUACUGGGAAAAUGGACUCAGGUGAGACAGUUGUUUGUGGAAGGAGACAGACAGACACAGAAGGAGAUGAGAGAAAGACAAGCCACAACACACUCAAGAAGCCCAGGCCACCUGAUCCUCCACAGCCCACUGCAGAAGAGAGUCCAGAUCCUGGUGGGCUCACGCUAACACCAGGAAGAGACUUGGCCUCUGGAAGCCCUGUGUGGCCAGUAGCUGCCCCCAGACGAGUGUUUGACUCCACCCCUCCUCGUCCUGCACCCAGGACUUGUCCACCUAAAGCCGCGGAGAGUCCAUCUGUUUUGGGUAAUCAAGUUGAUUGUAAAACCAAACCUAGUACUUUUCAAGGUGGGCCCUGUAAAACCAAAACCCCACCUUGGCUGGAACUUGUCCAGCCAGGGCCUUGGCCGAAGCUACCCCCUGCCCCACCUCCUAGAAUGCCAAAGCCCCCACGUUCAGGUUCUGUCCCCUCCCUCAGAGGGAGCUGGUACAGGUCAAAAGCACCCCCUCCGAAUCCCUUUGGGGAGUUGGAGGAUAAAGAUGAGGUCACUGCUGAUGACGACACUUCAUGC